Molecule: ribosomal RNA, 497 nt
Filed under: uncultured bacterium
Lineage: Bacteria
Description: partial 16S ribosomal RNA
Rfam family: Bacterial small subunit ribosomal RNA
Source: RNAcentral
GAUGAACGCUGGCGGCGUGCCUAAUACAUGCAAGUCGAGCGAACGGACGAGAAGCUUGCUUCUCUGAUGUUAGCGGCGGACGGGUGAGUAACACGUGGAUAACCUACCUAUAAGACUGGGAUAACUUCGGGAAACCGUAGCUAAUACCGGAUAAUAUUUUGAACCUCAUGGUUCAAAAGUGAAAGACGGUCUUGCUGUCACUUAUAGCUGGAUCCGCGCUGCAUUAGCUAGUUGGUAAGGUAACGGCUUACCAAGGCAACGAUGCAUAGCCGACCUGAGAGGGUGAUCGGCCACACUGGAACUGAGACACGGUCCAGACUCCUACGGGAGGCAGCAGUAGGGAAUCUUCCGCAAUGGGCGAAAGCCUGACGGAGCAACGCCGCGUGAGUGAUGAAGGUCUUCGGAUCGUAAAACUCUGUUAUUAGGGAAGAACAUAUGUGUAAGUAACUGUGCACAUCUUGACGGUACCUAAUCAGAAAGCCACGGCUAACUACGUG